CCACCAAAUUCUGUUGAUUAAACUCAUCAGCACUUGCCUCGAGUACUCGAUGCGCAAAAUUAAUUACUUUAUAUAUACUUGCUGCAUGGAAGGAAAAUGAAACCACCUAACAAGUUGAAAGGAGUCCUUGAAGGUUUACUUUUGAUCCAAUACAAGCAGUUGCUCAAAUACUCCUAUUACAUGAACUUGACAACAGCAACGACAAUGAGACAGCUAGAAUCAAUGCAAAUAUUACUGGUCCCCAGGCAUAUUGAUAACUGGAGGAGACAUCAGGUCUGGAUGGUGAGGCUUGGAGCUGCUACUUCAACCAUCCUUGGCUUCUU
Molecule: long non-coding RNA, 323 nt
Filed under: Elaeis guineensis (African oil palm)
Lineage: Eukaryota; Viridiplantae; Streptophyta; Magnoliopsida; Arecales; Arecaceae
Description: long non-coding RNA (EGUI_LNC040522)
Source: RNAcentral